This 72-nucleotide transfer RNA is filed under the name Camelus bactrianus (Bactrian camel). It matches the Rfam family "tRNA". From Rfam's summary of the family: Transfer RNA (tRNA) molecules are approximately 80 nucleotides in length. The record is from Rfam by way of RNAcentral. Lineage: Eukaryota; Metazoa; Chordata; Mammalia; Artiodactyla; Camelidae. RNAcentral also lists the same sequence under 2 other names.
GGGGGAUAGCUCAAGUGGUAGAGCACAUGCUUAGCAUACAUGAGGUCUUGGGUUCAAUCCCCAGUACCUCCA